This 2581-nucleotide long non-coding RNA is filed under the name Homo sapiens (human). RNAcentral describes it as "HSALNT0085621". Lineage: Eukaryota; Metazoa; Chordata; Mammalia; Primates; Hominidae. The record is from RNAcentral.
AUUACCUUGUAGCUCUGGAGAUGAGAAGCCCCAAAUCAGGGUGUCAGCGGGCCAUGCUGUCUCUAAAACCUGGAGGAGAAGCCAGUGCCCUCAGAAGUGCAGACGGAGAAGAUCGUUGCAUUGAUUCAGUGCUCAAAGCUGACAGGCCCAAGAUUUCUGCAUUUCUCUUAGCCUUUUCCUGCGGGGCCAUAUGACAAUUGUUAGAGAUGCAGCCACUAAGACAGAAUUUCCUGCAGGAAAAGAGGUUAAAAUAGAUAACGCAAAGAGAAAUAGGAGACAGGUGUAUUAGAAAUACAAAAGUUUUGCCAGUAUUCCCAGCAGACUCACACUUGUGCCUAGUCGGCUCAUGUUGUGUUACAGCGCCAUCAUAAUUGCAGUACAGCCUGGUGACUACAGUUUUAAAGCUGGGUACAUUGCUGUUCCAAAUUAAAUUGGGGAUUGGUUUUUAACAAAGGACCUAGCUUGACUAUGCUAUUCAGGAUCUAUGCAUCCACAUUCAGAUAAUAUAAACUCUCUUAGCUGUUUUACCAAAAUGUAUUUAUUUCAUAAAGGGAAUUGUGUAUUUAUAGAAAGUAUCAACGGCUUGAGGAAUAGCAAUAAUCUUUAUUUUCCGGAAUGACUUUUGAAACAAUGUUCCUAUCAACAGAACCAGCCUGUCAAAAGAUGUGCUACUUCUGCUUCAGUCAGAAAAUUGCCGAAUUAAAUGUUGGCCCCUGAGUCAUACUCCAUUGGUCAUAAUCUUGGAAUAGUGAAGCCACUGCUGUAAUUGUUAGAUCCAGAACUGCACUGCUCCAGGCCUAAUGCAUGGAUCUCACGUCUUUUCUAAAUAUCGCACUUGAACUGGUCUCAAAUUCAAGUCUCAUAUGAACCAAAUAAGAUAGAAACCAAAUCACAACACAAAGCCUAUCUGUAGAAAAGGUUCAGAAUAUAGGCCAGGCGCGGUGGCUCACCCAUGUCAUCCCAGCACUUAGGGAGGCAGAGGUGGGCAGAUCACAAGGUCAGGAGAUCGUCACCAUCCUGGCAACAUGAUGAAAUCCCGCCUCUACUAAAAAUACAAAAAAAUAAGCUGGGCGUGGUGGUGUGUGCCUGUAAUCCCAGCUACUCAGGAGGCUGAAGCAGGAGAAUUGCUUGAACCCGGAAGGCGGAGAUAGCGGUGAGCCGAGAUCCUGCUACUGCACUCCAGCCUGGUGACAGAUCGAGAAUCCGUUUCAAAAAAAUAAAAAAUAAAAAAAUAAAGAAAAAGUUAAGAAUAUAAUUUGUAACUUCUAAGCCUCCACAUGCAGAAUGGUGUACCAGAAAACUGUUGAGAAGUUUGUAUGACCAUAUAUACUACAAUUAUGCAAAAAUAAAAUUAUAUUUUAGUAAAUUAUAUUAUUUAACCAUUACAUUACAUUAGUAAAAGAUGAAAUCACAUUAUAGUUCUUUGAAAUCAUGAUGAUUUAAAGGAUAAACUAGAAAAUGCUUUCUCUAUUGUCAAGACCACCCAAGGUAGUUCAUUCUCUCUUUAAAAAGCCAUGCCUGGGUUACCAGCUCAUUCUUCUGAUUCAUUCCCUGUCUCUUACCUUAUUUCCUUCACAGCACUCUUUCUAGAGUAAUUAGAAAGUGGGGAAAGUAACUAUUAAAUAAAGUAAUUUUACUCUUUUUAAAAUUUUUUGCAGCUCAUUGUCCAGUAGAGCAUCAACAUUGAGUUCCCAACUGUGCAUAUGAGGUUCUGCCAAACUCUCUUCUUCCAACAUUCCUUGUUUUAUUCCUGAAAACACUUCCAAACAUUUUAUGUUCUAACACUAGACAUCCUAUAGUUCUCUACACACUUCUUUGUUUCCCAAAUCCAUAAAUUGACUUUUGGAGUUCUUUUAUAUUUGUCUCACAUAUUUUCCAAGCUAAAUUUAUUCACCUCUUCAGAUAUAGCUCUGCCAUCACAGCCUAUUAGAUGCCUUCCCUAACACGACGGUCUUUCACUUAACUUUCUUUCUACUCUCCUUAAGAACAGCUCCCAAUACUAUUUGAAAAUAUCUGUCACUGGCUGGGCACGAUGGCUCACACCUGUAAUCCCAGCACUUUGCGAAGAAAAGGUAAAAUAUUCACUUGUACUGGGGAAAAGAAGAAGACAAUGUGAUGGUUUAUGUGUCAACCUGACUAGGAUAAAGGAUGACCAGAUAGCUGGUAAAACAUUAUUUCUACGUGUGUCUGUGAAGGUGUAUCUGGAAGGGAUUGGCAUUUGCAUUGGUGGACUGAGGAUUGUGCUGCCCAGUUUGGGUAGGCUUCAUUUAAUCCAUUAAGGGCCUUGAAUAGAACAGAAAGGUAGAGGAAUGGCAAAGUCACUUUGUCUCUCCCUUACAGAACUGGGACAUCCAUCUUCUCUUGUUUUCAGACAUUGGAGCUCCUGGUUCUUGGGCCCUUGAACUCAGAUGGAGAUUUACAUCACUGACUCCCUUUCUUAGACCCUUGAACUAUGACUGAGACUUAAACCAAGACUUUCUCUUGUUCUCAGGUCUUUGGGUUUGGACUGGAACUACACCUCUGGCUUUCCUGGGUCUCUUGUAAAUGUCAUAUUGUGAGACUCUCAGCCUUUGUAAUCACA